RNAcentral lists this unclassified non-coding RNA (333 nucleotides) under uncultured Glomeraceae. Its description in RNAcentral is "sequence contains 18S rRNA gene". Lineage: Eukaryota; Fungi; Glomeromycota; Glomeromycetes; Glomerales; Glomeraceae. The record is from RNAcentral.
CCCAACUAUCCCUAUUAAUCAUUACGUCAAUCCUAGAAACCAACAAAAUAGGAUCGAACGUCCUAUUUCAUUAUUCCAUGCUAAUGUAUUCAGGCGUUAGCCUGCUUUAAACACUCUAAUUUUUUCAAAGUAACAGUCCAGAUUCCCUGCAACACCAAAUUAAUGGCAUUACAGUUCAUCAGGAAGGAGGAAUCAGUGAAACCAGUACAUACCAGUGGCAUGACCAACCUACUGACCCCGAAAUUCAACUACGAGCUUUUUAACUGCAACAACUUUAAUAUACGCUAUUGGAGCUGGAAUUACCGCGGCUGCUGGCACCAGACUUGCCCUCCA